This is a non-coding RNA of Vicugna pacos (alpaca), 2117 nucleotides long. The record is from RefSeq and is a predicted model, not a curated record. Lineage: Eukaryota; Metazoa; Chordata; Mammalia; Artiodactyla; Camelidae.
AAGACUGAAAUCAAGACAUGGUCCAAGAGUCAUCUUGGUGUGAAUUUAUUUGAAGACAAAGAUACGUCCCCACAGUAUCAAGCAGAUCUUUUUACUUGGCCCAUUGCACCAGCUAAAUUUUCAACAAACAAGAUCAGUGUUUCACCUGUUGACAGUCAGGGUAUGAAUUUACUUGAAAACAAAAACGCAUUCUCACAUCAAGAUCUGUAUACCAGGCACAACACAGCAAGUAAAUACACAACAAGAGUGAUUCACUUAGCGCCCUUCAACAAUGAAGAAGAACCUUCCGAGUACUUUUCACCCCCUGUGACUGGACAUCCAAAACCACUUCACAGAGCAUUGGGGGCUGGACCGAGUGCUUAUAAAACCAAGCAGCUUCCUUCACCGGACAAAGGACAUUCAGUCCCAGGCAAGACCAACAGAAAGACUAAACAUGAGGGGCAUCAAAAAAAAUUGACCUCAGGGGAAAAAAAGGUUGAACUUAAAGAUACUCUGCCUGCUAUGAUCUCUACAGCUGCAAAACCUAUCUAUAAAGUGCCACGUACAGCUGCCCAAAAACCUCUACCCCGCCCACACUUCUGAGGAUAAAUAAACAACGAGCAGAUUUGUGGAGACAGUAGUGAAACUGCGGGAGUGGAAGCCUUACGAAAACAACAUGGCCUGGAGCCCACGGUGCGUCCUGAACGGCAGCGGGAGGUGCCGCUGCCCAUGGAGUGCUCUGAUCGGUAGCAGGCAGUGAGAUGCAGAAGACAGACCUGGACUGCCUCAGCCAGAGGGUUCUGAGAGGCCCACUCUGGUGUGUAAAUUAGAGUAUCAUCUUUAUAAACAAGCUCUGUGCAGAAGCUAGAAGAAAAAUUUUUUGUUCAUAAAAAUUACAGGCUCACUGACACUGUCAAGGCCCACUCAGGUGGCAGGAGUGCCUGCAGCACGCCAUUUUCUGUCUGUCGCCAUCUCUAAUCAGCAGCUGAUGUCCCGAAUACUCAGUUCCAAAGUCUCUCAUAGAGCUGGUCCAGGGGAGCUGAGACCCAGCAGGAGCAGAGGGUAAUCUAAGUGCAGCCGUUUGACACCUUAGUAUUAAUGAGAGGAAAACAUCUUCCCAGAAGAACAGGAGGCUUGACUUUGGGGAGGGUUAGGGAGCGCACUUCCCCUGCCAUGUGUUGGCGGCUACCUUUGUGUGCAGGGCCCUGGUGUCCGGUGCUGAGGGUGAGCGUGUUCUCUGGGAGGUCCGCCAGCACCAGCAGAUAUCACAGUGAGUCAGGGGGCGGGGGCGACGUGCACUUUCUGAUCAGAAAACAGUUCUCAGUAUGCUGUGCCCUUCUCUGGGGCGGUGAGCGCUGCACUGGUAAAAUCUCUAAAUAGUAUUUUGAAAAAUGCCAUGUACUGUGAAAUAUAGUCUAACGAUGAGAAAUGCACAAAACUUGAGUUUUAGAAAUGCUUAUGUGUAUAUCAGAGGCUGAAUUAAGUGAAAAAUCCGGUAACUGUUUAUUUUCAGAACUCUUCUUUACUGUCUGGAACAAACGAGGAACUCGAAGAUCAAAGCCUCUGUGUUGCCAAUGGUAAGAAAGGACUCUGUGCUGAAGUCCUCCUGGCUUCUGUUCACUAAUGUCCCAGCAGUGCCUCUGCUGUGAAAGCAAUUAAACGAAACGUGUGCUCCGCAUGUUCUGAUACUGUCAUGGUUAUUUAAGGGUCAGUUAUUUGCAGAGCCGUUCUUUAUGACACUGUGUAAAGCCGCCUCCAUACAUUUACACGUCCAGGUAGAGAAACUGAAUUCAGAAAAGAACUUGCUUUUGUUUCCUUGUUUAAUAUUAAAACUGAAAUUCACUGAAGAGAUCAAAGCCUUUAGUAUUUAUAUAAUAUUUACUAAACCUAGUGAGACUUACAAAUCAUACUAGUAACUCUAGCUGAACUAUAAGAGAUUAUUUAUAAACUCAAAGAACUUAUUCCAUGUGAGAGUGUUAUUAAUACCAAGUUUCACUGAUACUGGUGUUAAAGGGACACUGAAAAGAAUGGGAGGAAAAAACUUGUAAAUACUGGCUGAGUUUUAAUAGCCUGGUGUCUUUGUUGUUUUGUUUUAUAUUUUUGGCCCUGAGAUUGGUGAAUUUUCAUUCCUGUUUUUA